UACGUAGGUGGCAAGCGUUAUCCGGAUUUAUUGGGCGUAAAGAGAACGCAGGCGGUCUUUUAAGUCUGAUGUGAAAGCCUUCGGCUUAACCGGAGUAGUGCAUUGGAAACUGGGAGACUUGAGUGCAGAAGAGGAGAGUGGAACUCCAUGUGUAGCGGUGAAAUGCGUAGAUAUUAGGAGGAACACCAGUGGCGAAGGCGGCCUGCUGGACUGCAACUGACGUUGAGGCUCGAAGGCGUGGGGAGCAAACAGG
RNAcentral lists this ribosomal RNA (253 nucleotides) under uncultured bacterium. RNAcentral describes it as "partial 16S ribosomal RNA". It matches the Rfam family "Bacterial small subunit ribosomal RNA", at positions 524 to 776 of the family's 1533-position model. The record is from RNAcentral.